AUUGAACGCUGGCGGCAGGCCUAACACAUGCAAGUCGAGCGGAUGAAGGGAGCUUGCUCCUGGAUUCAGCGGCGGACGGGUGAGUAAUGCCUAGGAAUCUGCCUGGUAGUGGGGGAUAACGUCCGGAAACGGGCGCUAAUACCGCAUACGUCCUGAGGGAGAAAGUGGGGGAUCUUCGGACCUCACGCUAUCAGAUGAGCCUAGGUCGGAUUAGCUAGUUGGUGGGGUAAAGGCCUACCAAGGCGACGAUCCGUAACUGGUCUGAGAGGAUGAUCAGUCACACUGGAACUGAGACAAGGUCCAGACUCCUACGGGAGGCAGCAGUGGGGAAUAUUGGACAAUGGGCGAAAGCCUGAUCCAGCCAUGCCGCGUGUGUGAAGAAGGUCUUCGGAUUGUAAAGCACUUUAAGUUGGGAGGAAGGGCAGUAAGUUAAUACCUUGCUGUUUUGACGGUACCAACAGAAUAAGCACCGGCUAACUUCGUG
This 484-nucleotide ribosomal RNA is filed under the name uncultured bacterium. Its description in RNAcentral is "partial 16S ribosomal RNA". It matches the Rfam family "Bacterial small subunit ribosomal RNA", at positions 30 to 507 of the family's 1533-position model. The record is from RNAcentral.